RNAcentral lists this transfer RNA (68 nucleotides) under Uenoa lobata. RNAcentral's name for it is "tRNA-Leu". Lineage: Eukaryota; Metazoa; Arthropoda; Insecta; Trichoptera; Uenoidae. The record is from RNAcentral.
ACUAUUUUGACAGAUUAAAUGUAUUAAAUUUAGAAUUUAAUUAUAUGUUUUUAAAAACAUAAAUAGUA